Molecule: ribosomal RNA, 252 nt
Filed under: uncultured bacterium
Lineage: Bacteria
Description: partial 16S ribosomal RNA
Rfam family: Bacterial small subunit ribosomal RNA
Source: RNAcentral
UACGAAGGGUGCAAGCGUUACUCGGAAUUACUGGGCGUAAAGCGUGCGUAGGCGGUGGUUUAAGUCUGAUGUGAAAUCCCCGGGCUCAACCUGGGAAUGGCAUUGGAUACUGGACCGCUAGAGUACGGUAGAGGGUGGUGGAAUUCCCGGUGUAGCAGUGAAAUGCGUAGAGAUCGGGAGGAACAUCUGUGGCGAAGGCGGCCACCUGGACCAGUACUGACGCUGAGGCACGAAAGCGUGGGGAGCAAACAG